GACGCCCCCCGAUUCCUGGAAAGAGCGGCAGGGGGAGCGGCCCGGCCCGGCCCGUCUCGGUCUGGUGUGCAGGAGUUGUGGCGGCCGCACGCCGCGAUGGGUCGCGUCGCUCCUCCGGAGUGCCACGGCGUAUUCUGCUUACGAUCAAAGUUCCCGCGCGUGGCGAGCAGAGCGCCGUGCGGUUUUGUGUCUGCGGCGCGAAGCGAGGCCUGGGCGCGGCGGGACCUCAGCCGUGCGGUGAAGGUCGCGGCUGCGGGUCGGGAGCGGCCUGUGGGGAGCGAAAGCAAAAGCAAAGCCAGGCCGGGCAGGAGGAGCCUUGCGCUGAGGGACGGGCGGCCUGCGGACCGCGCCUGGCCGGCUCUCCAGGCAUAGGGGCAGCUGCUGCCGUCGGUCUGAGCUCGCAAGUUUGAGGCCGCUGCUGAGAGCCGAACGAGAUGUGGAAGACCCCGUAGGUCCCGAGGGGAAAGUCAGCGACUGCCCCCUCCUCUCACAACGUUUCACAACUAAAUCAAAAGUCAUCGUGCAGCAGAAGAGGGUGAAAGGAGAUAACGACAGAAGGGGAGGAGCGGGGCUGUGUCCUUUCACAGACCGGGCAGUGAAUGCGAGGGAAUGGGACCUGCAGUGGAUCAGCAGAGAUUCUGAGAACUGAAGGCCUCACCAGAGUGAACAGAAUCAGUGGGUUACAGUGUAUGAGCACAAAGUCUUACUAGCCACUCUCUUACUCCUCCCUGUCCCUGACCUCAAGGUACAGAACCUUCUACCGUGUCCCUCAUCUUCAUGCAGGAUCUUCUUCCCUUUUUGUUGCUGGAGGACAACAUGAACUCCUCCUGCUAACUCCUGGACCUUUCUUUAGUCCAUCUUUCUGAGCUAUGAGGCCAGCAGAAGCUCCCGUGUAUCCUGCUCUCUGUGGGACAACACCCAUUGCAAUGGGCAGGGGCUGGGUCCCUCUGUGUGAAGAAGCGGCAGAGGAGAACUAGCUAGAAGGGCUGGAAAGGCAUACUGGGGAACCUCCUGCUAUGAUAAGAGCAGUAACUGCUUUUGUAUACCAACCAAAUGGAAACUGAAAACUCUAUAAUAAAACCAACAGUAAGUGACUUUCAGAUCAGAAAACAGGUUUGCAAGACACAGUUUGUGAGCACAUCAUGGAAUGCAAACUGCCUCACAUUUUUGGGGGUCAGAGGAGGAAGCCAUCCCUCCCAUCUACAAAGAUCAGCUUGGGUGAGAAGCCAAGGCUCUAAAAACAGCUCCUAUACAUGACACUAUUAAAACAUGUUCCUCGGUUUCAUAUGGAUAUCGAGGAUGCAAAUGGGUUUGGAAUAGGUUUGUCAGUCAGUAAGAGAAAUGAAGAGUCGCAUCUUCCCUUUGAGCCCAAGAAACAGUGAGACAUAAUGAGCUUUUUUCUAUUUGAAGAAGUUUUAUUAUUACUUUCUAAGCUUUCAAAAUUUUUUGGAGAAUCUGAGUAAAAUGUUAGAGGCUUUCUACAGUAGUUUUUAUGGGUUGAGUGUCUAAUUAUUUCUCAGUUCUCUUCUAAGUUUCACAGAUAGGAAUCUCAACUCAUAGAAAGAUUAAACCCACAACAUGCUCUGUCUUGCACUGGAGUUCCCCAGGCCUGAGCUGGGAGCUCAACCUUGUGCUGCAUGGAAAUGCAUGAAGGAAGGUAUGUACAAAAACCAAGCAGGAGCCAUCCUGGCUGCUUAGCCAAACUGCACCAGAACCUAACAAGUCCAUAAGGGAGCUGUCUGCUUUCACUAAGAGCUGUCAGUUGGGAACUCUGGAAAUACACAGCCCCUUGCUAGGCCAGGUCUGCCUUUCCAAAGGAAAUGACAUGCAGGUAGUCCCCCUGUUCCCCAUACUCUUGUCUGGCCAACAGGCACACGUUUAGAGAACUCCUCUGGGGAGCCGACAGCUGUUCUGAAGUACUCCGUGUAUUCAAAAUACCAACUUUGAAGAACACACCUGCAGUGCAAGCACUAGAAAAUUGGAGGUUAUAGGGUGGGCCUCUUUCAGGAUUCUGCAUUUGUGAAAGUAGCUACUUAGAUACCUGAGUCUCUACUGAGAGUAAUAGUGAUGAAACUCGUAUUACAAGUCUCCACUGUCCUUUAUGGAGUUGUUAUAUGAUCUCAAGGUACCCACUGGACUGGCUCCUGUAGAUAAGAAAGGUAGGUUGAUUGCAAAUUUGAAAAUGUGGCUUGGAUAUUAGCAGCUCUGAAGCUCCAGUGAGGUCAGCAGGAACAACACAUAGAAACAAAAAAGAUUUUUUUUUUAAGUGGCUAAAACCAUUUUUUUUUUAAUACUAAAGCAUUUAAUUUUCAAAAUAUUUGUCUUUUUUUUUUUUUGAGAUUCCUUCAUAUGCGUAUAAAAGAGACUUUAUUUUUAGCUAAAAAUCUAUAUAAGCCUCUUCAUUUGGGGUCAAAGCAUUCUUUUUAUAAUUUGAAAUUGUUGGGUUUCCUAUACUUUGGUUUUCUGAUCCUUUUCAGAUCUGUGUUCUAAGGAAACCAAGUUCCAGGCUAGGACAGCAUAGUAAAACAAAGACCCAGCCAUCUCUGGCCAUCUGGGUGACUUGGACUGUAGCAGAAGUAAGGACUUGAACGAGAUCUUCUGCCAAAAUGCCUCUGGGAGAGAUGAAUUCUGCUACAGAUUUCCUAUCACUCUGAAUGGAUAUUUUAUUGCCACCUGACUUUAAAGCAAGCAUUUAGCCUCUUCCUUUAUCUAAAAUUGGCCAGGUGAACUGUACUCCAGAAGUGCCUAAUGUGCUCCAUAAAGGAAAAGGCAACCCAGGUGACCAACAUAGACUGACACUAUGAUGUCGUAUGUAAAGACAGGUGAGAUGAAUCCCACCACUGUGUGAUGUUCCGGACAGGGAAGGCAGAAUUGCUUAAAAAGAAUGAAACAAAUCUGGAAUUCAGGCUUUAUGAAACAUGUCAGUGUGUAACAGGGGCUGCUUUCUGUAAUAAAUACCUCCUGUUUCGUUUUGAGCGCGAUUCCAUCUGUCUAGCAAUCCCUAAUUAUCAGGUCUGACUCUUACCCAGCUGGAACGCUUUUUCCUCAGCACUGUGGGGGGAGUGCUGACUUCCAUUACAGUAACAAUAAACUCCCAGAGCACCUAGAGAGAGGUGGACUUCAGAGAUUUUAUUCUUAGAGCGUCAUGGAUAAAUCUUGAAUCCAUUGAAGUCAAUGAAAAACUCAAACCAACUUCUGCUGGGCUAGGAUUUCUCCCUGGGUCUCGAGUGAACAGGGGAAUUGGCAUCCUGAAGAGAUUUUUGAAGACUGUGUAUCUACGUGUCAAACUCUGUUUCCCAUUUAAUUCUGAUUUUAUACUGCAGAGAUAUAGAAGUUCCGAGAAGCUUUCAGGCUUUCAGUCAGAAUGAGGCUAUUGAAAAACAUGACCUUUUCUUCAAAAGCCACUACCUGCAGUGGCUGUUGACUGCCACUGUGAAUACUGACCUCACAGCAGAGUACUAGACAUCACUGAACAGCACAGGGUGUUGUGUUCUUUACAAUCACAUAGAGAAUAUAUUUAAAUUCCUAUUGCCUCUGAGGGGAAAUUGCCAUCUCUCAAGGCUUACAGCACCCCUGAAGAAAGACCUACUUUUAGUAACUCCUGAGGUCAUAACUGGUUGCAUCUGUAGUCACUGGAAUUCACAGUAGUGUCACGUGUGUCCGUAUGCACCUUAAAAGUUAAUACUUUUGCAUGUGCAGUGUGUACUCAGACUGCUGCUUCAAGCUGAGAUGCCCUUUUAAGUCAUUCUCUUGAUUCCUAAGCCCUCACAUAAAUCUCUUUAGAUUGAUGGGCAAAUAAAUUUACAGCCUGCAAUAUCAGAUUAGUGAGCUGGAUGCUAGAAGACAGGUAUUAGGUUUGCUGCAAGAAACUGCAGCCACUCAGCUAAAACAAUCCUGUCAGAAAUAUACUUCCAUAAGAAUUUUUGAGUCUGUUAAUUAGACUUACCAACGCUCACAUUAGCAGGACUUUCAAGUCAAUAACAAUCCUCCACUAAGUAUGGAUCUGUAGUGUGAAUAAAAGCAAAACCUGGGCCUUCUUUUGUAAUAAUCAGUGUUUAGUGCAUAAAGAGGCCAUUAAGGCCAUUAUGCCGUAGCUGCGUUAAAAGCACAACCUUGCUUCUGAAGCUCCUGCAGCAAAUAAUGGCUGUCCCAGUCUUAUCUCCUCCAGGAGCAGUUGGCCUCUGUCAGAAAGUGCUGACCUUCUACAGAACAAAAAAAAAAAAGCUGCAAUGAAAAACAAUACCCUUUUCUAUUUACUGAGCACUUCCUGGUUUUGUACCGCUGUCUUUAUCAGGUCGGCAACAUGAGAAUGUGUAUUGUUCCCUUCUCAAAACUGGGAAAACUGAUGCAAAAAAAUAUGUUUUGGCUCCUGAUUCACAUUCAGAUCAACGUCAAAACAGAUGUUCAGGACUUGUUGACCUUUCUUUUUUUUUUUCAAACGUUAAUUCUUUAUGGAUCUUUUAAAUCAGAUAUGAUUCAAAAAUGCUUUCGGCAAACCUGUGAAAAUGGUGAGAAGUAUGUAACGUACACUGACAGGUACUAGGCUGACAUAGCCAACUCUGUAACUGUGUGGUAAAACAGAACUGAACUGGCUAGGGAAAAGUUUCUUAAUGAGUUACUUUUCAUAUUUGCAGCAGGGAGCACCCAAAACAACUGAGGGUGUGCGCAGGAACAGAGGUGGGAGGCAAAGAAGGUAUCUGCAUAAGCCACUACUGCUGAUGAAGGAGAUGAGAAUUCAUCUCAGACUGUUGCCUCAUUAUCCCAGGGUUCAGAGUCAACAUUAAGUACCUGUUGGAUCAGGUCCUGAAGCACAGGGUGGAACUAAAAUUGUACCCAAAAAUAACAACCAGCUAUCCCUAAUCUAACUCUCCAAGACGUUCCUGCAUGUGAACUUGGUGACUGUACACCCAAGGGACAGUCUGUUCCCAUAUAUCCUGUGAUUUCUGGAUGUCAGAAUUAGGCAACGCUUGGAAAAGAUUAGUUGAAACAUUUGUUUGAAGGAGCAUCUACUUUGACUCAGUUUGUGUGCAAACUGAAACACAGAAAUUACUCUUUAAAUCUAGUUUUAGGUUAUGUUCAGUGGCUCAGCUGUAACCUGACUAUGGUUAGAUAGGAAAGAAAACUCUCACAUCACAAGAAGCUAAGUGUAAAAGUCAGGACAUGAUCUAAUGAGUUUUUUGCAUUCCUUAGUUCUAAGGUGCACUGAAAUAAAAAAGCCUAAAAAGGACAUAAAGGGCAAAGAGGCAUAUCAUUAGCUAUAUAUGCUUCCUUUUUUUCCUGAAUCCUGAAAGAAAAAUAACAAGGUGUAAAUGCUUUCGUGUUUAUAAAUGUAAAUAAUGCUAUUCCAGUUGUCAACCUGUGCUUAGUGAAGCUAAUAGUGACCUCAGCUAUAUAAAUUAAACGUGCAAAUCACUUUAUACAAUAUGGCCAUGUGUAAUAAAUGGGUCUCACUUAUUAUGUUUUAUCACAAGAGCCCACCAGAAUGUAAGUUUGUAUCAUAUAUAAACAAUGAGAUUUACUGUAGCUAGGCUGUAUGUUAUCUGAAAGUAGAGCUCAGGAUCCAGUUAUCACCAGAUUUUCCUGUAUUUUGAUCAAAAUUAUUCUUCAAGACCAACAGCACUUUAAAUUCAAAAAGCAUAUUAUCCAUUACAUGCAAUUAAGAGCACCUUCAGGUCCUAAAGGGAAGAGUGCACUCCUUUCACACCUCCCCUCACUUUUGGAAGUGCAGCUUUCCUGUAACAUGAGAAUCGCAUUUUGGCCUACCAACAUAAUCUGUUUAUGGUUGUCUAUGGUUGUUUAAAGUGAAAAUUGAUUCUCUAAAUGUAACAUGUGGUUUAUUCUUGCGAAGGUCAGUAGUGAGCAUAGAUUGGUUACAAAGACUCAUAUCUAAUUAAACAUGUUUUCUCAGGUUUUACUAACUUCUGUGCAGGCAGAUGCUCGCAUCUCCAGCAGGGAGGCCAAACCUCUGAUGACGAUUCUCUUCUUCUGGUCAAAAUGUCAUCUCCAGCAUCUGCUACCUGACCCUAACUGCAGAAGAGCUUUAUUCGCUGGAACAGCAGUUUUUUCCAACUCAUGCAAGAGGCUUUUCUCCAGAAUGGGCUUUUAUUUAAAGAAAACUCUCAGAGAAUUCUUACCACUUGGAUUCUAACAUAGCAUCUCCACAGAGCAAGGAGGCUUAUAAAGAAGAUGUAAUACUUGUGGGAAAUUUGUGUCAUCGUAAAGCAGUACAGGAAUGAGGGGAGGAGUGUGUGUGAACUGUUUAUAGUUGCUGUUUUGAUGCUAAAUUAUUAUUUUGCUGUUGGAAAUUCUUUUUGUUGAUGUAAGUUGUGAAGUUUAGGUGAUGAAUCUUCAUAAAGGUACAUUUUCAUAGUAAUGUAAAUAAUGUUUCAGCAUAUUUCUAUCAUGAGUUUUUGAACACCCAUGUCUCACACUGGUGUCACCUUCAGUGGAUGGCAAAUUCUGAGACACUUCUGUCUAAGCUUUUAAUGAAAAUAAACUAUUUUAUUUAAAAUACUAGAUUGUUUUUCAUUAUUAGAUAAACCCUAAGAAGGGGAUUAAAAAAAUCUGUGUCUAAGUUGUAAAGACCUUCUGUUGCUCAUGCUGAAGAAUUAAUUCUUACAAGAAAACAGAAUACUGUAGGGUAUCACCAGAUUUAUGAAAACAGUAACAAAGUAAAUUUCUGUGAUACUGGAGAACAUCCAGAUCAACUGCGGUACGGUUUUCCCGAAGGCUAGAAAGCCACAUGUGAAUUGAAAGUUAUUAGUUAAAAAUAAGGUACUGUAAAUUAUAUUUUACUUUUCUAGAUUACUGAUAGCACAGGGUAAUCACCCACCAAAAGCUGCGUCAUCUGACCAGUCUGACUCAAAGGAGAGAGAUUUUUUCAUUCAUUUUACUAGGAUGUAAAUUCCAUUCUCGGUAAAAGAGCCCCUCCACAAAACAAAACAAAACAAAACAAAAACACCACCACCACCACAACAAAACACACCUCACCCACGACUCCAGACACCAUCAUUGUUAUCAGAACAUUAUAAUUUCACAUUAGCUCUUCAAUAUCACAGCAUGGUAGAAGCCCUGGUGUUCACAAUGAAGGGUCACCAAACUACAGUCCUUCAUUACACGUGACUCACAAACCUUACACGUGCAGGUGCCAUGCUGAGGAGAUAUAAAAAGACUCAAGAGUGAGGCACCACUGGUACACGGCCUGCUGAUGAGUCCCACUCCCCAAAGGUGGGAAGAGGCAAGAAAACAGGUGGUGUCUGCAGUCACUGCCAUCAGCUCUUCUAGGUCUCAGCUUCACACCUGAUCCAGCCCCAGCAGUCUCAAGACCACUGUGAGACUAUUCCUAGCACUUCUCUCCUCUUGGCUUCCCAAGGAUAAGGUAGGAGUAUGAUUGCUCUCAAACAUUUGAAGAGGUUGAUAGGUAUCCAAGUGUCAAGAACGUUGUCUGCACUUGUUGCAGAUGUUUCAGAGAUAAAGCAAGAAGUAUUCCCUUCUGUGCGACUUCACACAACCCACACGUUAUAUAUACGUGGAAAAUAUGGAUCGUUUUAUGUAGUUAAAUGUGCUUAUGCUAGCCUUAGUUGGGUAAACUUACUCAUUCCCCAAGGACAUUAUUUGCAAAUUCAAUGUUCUGGAAAGGCAUGGAUAUCAAAAAUAAAUUUAUCUUGAAUUAAGAGGGUUUUUGUUUUGUUUUUUUAAAACAAAUGAAGGACAGGCUUCCUGAUGAUUUCAAACUGUUGCAAAGUUUUAACAAUGCAAUAAUUUCAAAUUAAUUCUGAGUAUUUCUUUAAGAGACAGCAGAAGUUCCCUUGAAUUUAGUUUUUCUUCACAACAGAAGCCAUAACUGUUCUGAUCCUUCAGCAGUGCUAACAACUAGAAAGAGCAACUGCUUUGGCACUACCUGCAGCACUUACACCCUUCUGGGCCAGUCUGCCCAGGCUUUAGUUACUCUGUAAAGUCUUCCUGACAGUAUACAGACACAACCAAAGGCUCCCGAAACAGGUUUUCCACCUUGCACUAAGGAGUCUUAAAAGGUGCCAGUUUUCAAACACGAGUUAAACCUGAUAAUGAGAUGUAACAAUUGCUAGAAUUCAGUUUACCCAGUAUGUAAAAGCACUACGUAAAACAAGAUGGAGUGCCCAAACCCAAGCAGCAAGUUGAAAACAGGCAGGUCAUGUUAUCUUACAUGGGAACACUUUCCAUCUCUCUUCUUUGGGCUAAGACACUGUGCAGCCAGGUAUGCAAGAUGUAGAGCAACCAGCAACUACAGCAUCUAUUCAUGAAGCAGCAGGAAUGGGAUUCCACACCUGCCUCCAAGGCUGUUUGAAAACAGCACAUCCACCUCAGCUUGGUCUCCUCUGAAAUCAUGACCUAGGAGAGAAGACAGAGUUAAUUUUGCUUACUGUUCUGCUGCCCCCAUCAAUAUUGUCACAUUCGAUGCAAGCUAACCAGGAGGUAUGAAGAGUGCUUUCCCUCUGUGUGCUCCAUGGCUUAGGGAUGAAGACUCUCUCCUAGGAUGCAGAUGCUGGGGCUAUAACUCAAUCCAGCCAAGCAGGGUACAGCUCCUCACCCUCCUGCUGUGGUGAUAAGCAACUUCACCGCCAAGAUCCUACACAAAGAACACUAACAGCAUUCACUGGGAUUUCCUCCUGUUCUCCCAGCAUUAACAAUGGCACCAGAAACUGGAUUUCCUAGGAGGCUUCUAGAAGAAAGCAAACUACCUUCAAGGAAAGACAUAUGUGACACAGGAGGAACUGAGUCUCUUUUUCAUGCCAUUACAGGCACCUAUGUCUCUCCACUGACUGCACAGAAGAGGUAGAAAUUUAUGUUCAUUCGCUCCCUGUUAAGAUAUCCCAACUUCACUGUAGGCAUUGCCCAAGGUAGGCAAAUUGACUGGACUCACAAUGCUUUGAACAAGACUGUUCUGAAUGGAAGACUGCUCAAAAGAAAGCAGAGAAAAUAAAUGAUUCGUAACUGAAUGACUCUAUGUAAUGUUUAGCAACUACUUAAAAAAAAUAAAGGGGGAGAGAUAUCUUCAUUGGGCACUAGAGUGAAAAAAACACCUUUUAAAAGUACUGGGGGGAUGAGGAGGGG
Molecule: long non-coding RNA, 9093 nt
Organism: Gallus gallus (chicken)
Lineage: Eukaryota; Metazoa; Chordata; Aves; Galliformes; Phasianidae
Exons: 3
Source: RefSeq, a predicted model, not a curated record